This 491-nucleotide long non-coding RNA is filed under the name Microcebus murinus (gray mouse lemur). RNAcentral's name for it is "lncRNA (ENSMICG00000048749.1)". Lineage: Eukaryota; Metazoa; Chordata; Mammalia; Primates; Cheirogaleidae. The record is from RNAcentral.
AUCUCGAUACAGCUGCUGCGGAGGUGUCCUUGGAUCCCCCGGGUGUCAGGUCGCCAAGCUUCAUGUUCAUAACCAAAAAGAAAACCUAGAGGGCUUUGUGAAGACUUUUGUCAAGGUUGCACCUCCUGAUGGCAGUCACGGUGUGUUUGCAGUAAAUUGUGAGAUGUGCUAUACAGCCAAAGGCUUGGAACUUACUAGAGUGACGGUGGUUGAUUCCAGCCUCCAGGUGGUCUAUGAUACAUUCGUGAAACCAGAUGAAGAAGUCAUUGACUACAACACUAGGUUUUCUGGUGUGGUGGAAGAUGAUUUGAAGAACACAACAACAUCAAUUCGUGAUGUCCAAGCUGUUUUGUUGAACCUGUUUAGUGCUGAUACUAUAAUAAUUGGACAUAGCUUUGCAUCUAGUCUGUAUGCUCUGAAGGUAAAUAAUUACAGGCCGACAUAUUUUUUUACAAAAAAUAUUUUUACAAAAUUAUGUGUGUUAAGAUAGU